AAAAGUGGAAAUAAUGCCAAGUUCGUUUAAAAUACAGUUGUAAUAAUGAACCUUACAAACAAAGACAAUGUUGUUACAAGCAUUGUCAGCUGGAACCAAAACACAUUCCUCAUGUAACCUAUCUAAUUAUUUUACCACUUCUGGUUUACUACACACGGAAGGAUAGCUGCCCAUCGUCUGGCAUAAUCCUCGACAGAACCCAUAAUAGAAAUGAAGUUCUAUCGCCAAUUGAAAGACCGAGGUUCUCUGUAUUAAAGACCUUUUAGAAUAAGUGAUCCGAGGUCCUCAUUUUCAACUGUAUCAACAGUAAUGACAUGUCAACAUUACCAGUGAUGACAUAUCCAGCUGGACUAUAGUUGAAAGAAUAUCAAGAACACGGAGGAUUAAGUAUAAGAUGGUCUAUAUCUAGGCACUGCAAAAUUGUUUAUAAUUGAAAAGUUUGGGUGCAAUAGUAGAAGUAUAUUUGUAGGAAAUACUGGGUAUAGACUUGAACUUAAAAUAAGUUGGAAUACACGACUGAAGUUUUUUAUGACAAAGAAUAGUGCUUAUGUUGACGGCAUCUAUUCCUUUGUUUGUAAAUUUGAGCUGAAGGAACUGGUGGCACGAUUUGGAAGGAACAUCAUCCAUGACCCGUGGUGGUUUAAAGACGCGGUGACUGGCAACAUCCAUAAUCAUAGAGUUCGGUCUAUAUUCAAGUGUUGAAAAAUCCAAGUAUAGACUAGCUGUGGCUCCUUGAAAUAACGUAUGUAAAACUCUCAAUGGAACAGAGUAGAGUUUUGUGCGAAUAUGAUGUGGACGUAAUUGUCUGUUGACGUAAGGUAAAAGUGAAUCAAACGUGACAUCAUUUAUACUUGGUAUUUUAUACGAACGGUGUCCAUGACUGCGUUUCCGUAUGCAUAUCAUAGAAUGAUUCCCCUGAUAUCCACGAUUUAACUUAUAUAUAUUUAGAAAGUAGUAGUUUUUAAACUGUUGAAAUUUAAAUUUUACCAUUUCCAACAGGUUUUAUGAAUUUUUAUAAUGCUGACUUAUACUUCUCUUUAUGUAUGCCGGACAUCUUUUAAAAGGUAGCAACAUGCAUAUGUUUGUUCGCUUGUGGUUAAUUAAACUAUAUUAAGUGAA
This is a long non-coding RNA of Ostrea edulis (European flat oyster), 1119 nucleotides long. RefSeq lists it as uncharacterized. The record is from RefSeq and is a predicted model, not a curated record. The transcript is spliced from 2 exons. NCBI's taxonomy places the organism in Eukaryota, Metazoa, Mollusca, Bivalvia, Ostreida, Ostreidae.